UGGGGAAUAUUGCACAAUGGGGGAAACCCUGAUGCAGCAACGCCGCGUGAGUGAUGAAGGUUUUCGGAUCGUAAAGCUCUGUCUUCAGGGACGAUAAUGACGGUACCUGAGGAGGAAGCCACGGCUAACUACGUGCCAGCAGCCGCGGUAAUACGUAGGUGGCGAGCGUUGUCCGGAUUUACUGGGCGUAAAGGGAGCGUAGGCGGAUUUUUAAGUGAGAUGUGAAAUACCCGGGCUCAACUUGGGUGCUGCAUUUCAAACUGGAAGUCUAGAGUGCAGGAGA
RNAcentral lists this ribosomal RNA (283 nucleotides) under uncultured Clostridium sp. RNAcentral's name for it is "partial 16S ribosomal RNA". It matches the Rfam family "Bacterial small subunit ribosomal RNA", at positions 355 to 655 of the family's 1533-position model. Lineage: Bacteria; Bacillati; Bacillota; Clostridia; Eubacteriales; Clostridiaceae. The record is from RNAcentral.